This 253-nucleotide ribosomal RNA is filed under the name uncultured bacterium. RNAcentral describes it as "partial 16S ribosomal RNA". It matches the Rfam family "Archaeal small subunit ribosomal RNA", at positions 474 to 727 of the family's 1478-position model. The record is from RNAcentral.
UACCAGCACCCCGAGUGGUCGGGACGAUUAUUGGGCCUAAAGCCUCCGUAGCCGGUCAUGCAAGUCCUCCGUUAAAUCCACCUGCUUAACAGAUGGGCUGCGGAGGAUACUACAAGGCUAGGAGGCGGAAGAGGCAAGCGGUACUCAGUGGGUAGGGGUAAAAUCCGUUGAUCCAUUGAAGGCCACCAGUGGCGAAGGCGGCUUGCCAGAACGCACUCGACGGUGAGGGAUGAAAGCUGGGGGAGCAAGCCGG